Jaculus jaculus (lesser Egyptian jerboa) is the source of this 395-nucleotide long non-coding RNA. RefSeq lists it as uncharacterized. NCBI's taxonomy places the organism in Eukaryota, Metazoa, Chordata, Mammalia, Rodentia, Dipodidae. The record is from RefSeq and is a predicted model, not a curated record. The transcript is spliced from 4 exons.
GCGCUGGGCUGCCCGGGUGAGUGUGAGUGUGAGAGCGAGAGCAGCCCGCGGGUCCCGAGGCGCCGGCUGGGGACUCUGCCGCGGAAAGUUCCCAGUCCCCAGCCGCAGAAAUCCUGUUACCUAACCCAAAGUCACCAUUCGUCCAGAAGGAAAUGGAGAACUCCUUGUUAUUUUAUCAGUGUAGGCUAACCUGACAAAUUCUCAUCCCUAACAAAGCUUCUCCAUCAUUGUUAACUUCAAUAAAUGGAUCCAUGAUGCCCCUGACCAUGGGGAAGAUUCUCCACCCCUGCAAGAUUACUACUGAUGUAACCUUGAGGAGGAGCCUUGUGGAUCUUGGGCUCGCCGCAAAGUGGUACCGAAACCCGGGAACGCCGGGUGUUUUGUGGUCACCAGGC